Molecule: ribosomal RNA, 556 nt
Filed under: uncultured Entrophospora
Lineage: Eukaryota; Fungi; Glomeromycota; Glomeromycetes; Entrophosporales; Entrophosporaceae
Description: SSU rRNA
Rfam family: Eukaryotic small subunit ribosomal RNA
Source: RNAcentral
UUGGAGGGCAAGUCUGGUGCCAGCAGCCGCGGUAAUUCCAGCUCCAAUAGCGUAUAUUAAAGUUGUUGCAGUUAAAAAGCUCGUAGUUGAAUUUCGGGAUUGACGUGAUGGUCAUGCCUUAAGGGGUAUGAACUGUUGCAGUUGAUUUCUCACCUUCUGGAGAAACUUGAUGUCCUUUAUUGGGUGUCUUGCGGAUCCAGGACCUUUACCUUGGAAAAAUUAGAGUGUUUAAAGCAGGCAUUUUUGCUCGAAUACAUUAGCAUGGAAUAAUAGAAUAGGACGGCAUGGUUCUAUUUUGUUGGUUUCUAGGAUCACCGUAAUGAUUAAUAGGGAUAGUUGGGGGCAUUAGUAUUCAAUUGUCAGAGGUGAAAUUCUUGGAUUUAUUGAAGACUAACUACUGCGAAAGCAUUUGCCAAGGAUGUUUUCAUUAAUCAAGAACGAAAGUUAGGGGAUCGAAGACGAUCAGAUACCGUCGUAGUCUUAACCAUAAACUAUGCCGACUAGGGAUCGGAUGAUGUUAAUUUUUUAAUGACUCAUUCGGCGCCUUACGGGAAAC